UCUUGCCCUUGGUAUCUGACGUCCAGCUUUUAUCUAUUUGUAGCUGGGUGUUUCGUUUUUACGGGCAGAUACAAAGUUGUUGAACAGGUCUUGCGACACAGUUAGCUUUUGUUUUUCAUAAGCUUUCUGUUACUAAAUCCCUGGUCACAUUU
This is a small nucleolar RNA of Gossypium arboreum, 152 nucleotides long. It matches the Rfam family "Small nucleolar RNA F1/F2/snoR5a". From Rfam's summary of the family: This family contains F1, F2 and snoR5a sequences, all of which are members of the the H/ACA class of snoRNA that guide the sites of modification of uridines to pseudouridines. NCBI's taxonomy places the organism in Eukaryota, Viridiplantae, Streptophyta, Magnoliopsida, Malvales, Malvaceae. The record is from Rfam.